UCCGUUGUGGUCUAGUGGCUAGGAUUUGCCGCUCUCAGUAAAAGAGCAUUGCUUAACGCAGUUACCGGCAAGGCCGGGGUUCGAUUCCCCGCAACGGAA
Non-coding RNA from Aplosporella prunicola CBS 121167, 99 nucleotides. The record is from the annotation of a RefSeq genome assembly. Lineage: Eukaryota; Fungi; Ascomycota; Dothideomycetes; Botryosphaeriales; Aplosporellaceae.